GACGAACGCUGGCGGCGCGCUUAACACAUGCAAGUCGAACGGAAAGGCCUGCUUUCCCUUGUGGAUUGCGGGUACUCGAGUGGCGAACGGGUGAGUAACACGUGAGUGAUCUGCCCCCAACUUGGGUAUAAGCCUGGGAAACUGGGUCUAAUUCCCGAUAGGACUGCAGGGUGGUGCCUGUGGUGGAAAACGAUUUUCUAGUGGUUGGGGGUGAGCUCGCGGCCUAUCAGCUUGUUGGUGGGGUAAUGGCCUACCAAGGCGGCGACGGGUAGCCGGCCUGAGAGGGUGGACGGUCACAUUGGGACUGGGAUACGGCCCAGACUCCUACGGGAGGCAGCAGUGGGGAAUAUAGCACAAUGGGCGGAAGCCUGAUGCAGCGACGCCGCGUGGGGGAUGACGGCCUUCGGGUUGUAAACUCCUUUCGACCGCGAGGAAGCCACCUGGUUGGAAGGGUGGUGACGGUAGUGGUAGAAGAAGCACCGGCUAACUACGUG
This 494-nucleotide ribosomal RNA is filed under the name uncultured bacterium. Its description in RNAcentral is "partial 16S ribosomal RNA". It matches the Rfam family "Bacterial small subunit ribosomal RNA", at positions 28 to 507 of the family's 1533-position model. The record is from RNAcentral.